UAAAUAUGAUUUAUGUUAGGA
RNAcentral lists this non-coding RNA (21 nucleotides) under Caenorhabditis elegans. Lineage: Eukaryota; Metazoa; Nematoda; Chromadorea; Rhabditida; Rhabditidae. The record is from RNAcentral.